This 242-nucleotide unclassified non-coding RNA is filed under the name uncultured fungus. RNAcentral's name for it is "partial contains 5.8S ribosomal RNA, internal transcribed spacer 2, and large subunit ribosomal RNA". The record is from RNAcentral. Lineage: Eukaryota; Fungi.
AACGCACAUUGCACCUCUUGGUAUUCCAGGAGGUAUGCCUGUUCGAGCGUCAUUACACCUCUCAAGCCUGGCUUGGUCUUGGGCAACGCGGCCGCGCCGCGUGCUCCAAUGUCUCCGGCUGGAUCGUCAAACCCUGCAGCGUUGUGGUCAAAAGCCGCUUCAGAGGUCGGUCGGUCUACCGCCGUGAACUUAUAUUUCUCUUGGUUGACCUCGGAUCAGGUAGGGCUACCCGCUGAACUUAA